RNAcentral lists this ribosomal RNA (535 nucleotides) under Pezicula eucrita. RNAcentral's name for it is "eukaryotic LSU rRNA". The stretch from base 185 to 338 matches the Rfam family "5.8S ribosomal RNA". The record is from RNAcentral. Lineage: Eukaryota; Fungi; Ascomycota; Leotiomycetes; Helotiales; Dermateaceae.
CUGCGGAGGGAUCAUUACAGAGACUCUGCCCUUUGGGUAGACCUCCCACCCUGUGUCGUUAUACCUCUGUUGCUUUGGCGGGCCGCGGGGCUCCGGCCCCGCCCCUGGCUCCGGCUAGGGCGCGCCCGCCAGAGGACUACCAAACCUGAAUGUUAGUGUCGUCUGAGUACUAUGUAAUAGUUAAAACUUUCAACAACGGAUCUCUUGGUUCUGGCAUCGAUGAAGAACGCAGCGAAAUGCGAUAAGUAAUGUGAAUUGCAGAAUUCAGUGAAUCAUCGAAUCUUUGAACGCACAUUGCGCCCCUUGGUAUUCCGGGGGGCAUGCCUGUUCGAGCGUCAUUACAACCCUCAAGCUCUGCUUGGUCUUGGGCGUCACCGGUCCCCGGUGUGCCUUAAACUCAGUGGCGGCGCCGUCUGGCUCUAAGCGUAGUACAUACUCUCGCUACAGACGCCCGGCGGAUGCUGGCCAGCAACCCCCAAUCUAUCAAGGUUGACCUCGGAUCAGGUAGGGAUACCCGCUGAACUUAAGCAUAUCA